UACGUAGGGGGCAAGCGUUGUCCGGAAUCAUUGGGCGUAAAGCGCGUGUAGGCGGCUCAGUAAGUCCGCUCUGAAAGCCUGGGGCUCAACCCCGGGUCGGCCGUGCGAACUGGGGGGCUUGAGCACUGUAGAGGCAGGCGGAAUUCCGGGUGUAGCGGUGGAAUGCGUAGAGAUCCGGAAGAACACCGGUGGCGAAGGCGGCCUGCUGGGCAGUUUAGCUGACACUGAGGCGCGACAGCGUGGGGAGCAAACAGG
RNAcentral lists this ribosomal RNA (255 nucleotides) under uncultured bacterium. RNAcentral's name for it is "partial 16S ribosomal RNA". It matches the Rfam family "Bacterial small subunit ribosomal RNA", at positions 524 to 776 of the family's 1533-position model. The record is from RNAcentral.